RNAcentral lists this ribosomal RNA (253 nucleotides) under uncultured bacterium. RNAcentral describes it as "partial 16S ribosomal RNA". It matches the Rfam family "Bacterial small subunit ribosomal RNA", at positions 524 to 776 of the family's 1533-position model. The record is from RNAcentral.
UACGGAGGGUGCAAGCGUUAUCCGGAUUCACUGGGUUUAAAGGGUGCGUAGGCGGCUUUGCAAGUUGGGUGUGAAAGCCCUCGGCUCAACCGAGGAAUUGCGCUCAAAACUGCCGAGCUUGAGAGAGACAGAGGUAAGCGGAACUAAUGGUGGAGCGGUGAAAUGCGUUGAUAUCAUUAGGAACACCGGUGGCGAAGGCGGCUUACUGGGUCUUUUCUGACGCUGAGGCACGAAAGCCAGGGGAGCGAACGGG